This 160-nucleotide ribosomal RNA is filed under the name uncultured bacterium. RNAcentral's name for it is "partial 16S ribosomal RNA". It matches the Rfam family "Bacterial small subunit ribosomal RNA", at positions 333 to 508 of the family's 1533-position model. The record is from RNAcentral.
AGACUCCUACGGGAGGCAGCAGUGGGGAAUAUUGCACAAUGGGGGAAACCCUGAUGCAGCGACGCCGCGUGAGCGAAGAAGUAUUUCGGUAUGUAAAGCUCUAUCAGCAGGGAAGAAGAAAUGACGGUACCUGACUAAGAAGCACCGGCUAAAUACGUGC